This 253-nucleotide ribosomal RNA is filed under the name uncultured bacterium. Its description in RNAcentral is "partial 16S ribosomal RNA". It matches the Rfam family "Bacterial small subunit ribosomal RNA", at positions 524 to 776 of the family's 1533-position model. The record is from RNAcentral.
GACAGAGGGUGCAAACGUUGCUCGGAAUUACUGGGCGUAAAGCGCGUGUAGGCGGGUCGGAAAGUCGGGCGUGAAAUCCCCAGGCUCAACCUGGGAACUGCACUCGAAACUUCCGGUCUAGAGUGGUGGAGAGGGAAGUGGAAUUCCUGGUGUAGAGGUGAAAUUCGUAGAUAUCAGGAGGAACACCAGUGGCGAAGGCGGCUUCCUGGACACCAACUGACGCUGAGACGCGAAAGCGUGGGGAGCAAACGGG